CCGGCGCACGGGUGAGUAACGCGUAUGUAACUUACCUAUCGGAGGGGGAUAACCCGGCGAGGUCGGACUAAUACCGCAUGAAGCAGGGGCCCCGCAUGGGGAUAUUUGCUAAAGAUUCAUCGCUGAUAGAUAGGCAUGCGUUCCAUUAGGCAGUUGGCGGGGUAACGGCCCACCGAACCGACGAUGGAUAGGGGUUCUGAGAGGAAGGUCCCCCACAUUGGUACUGAGACACGGACCAA
Molecule: ribosomal RNA, 239 nt
Filed under: uncultured bacterium
Lineage: Bacteria
Description: partial 16S ribosomal RNA
Rfam family: Bacterial small subunit ribosomal RNA
Source: RNAcentral